RNAcentral lists this ribosomal RNA (253 nucleotides) under uncultured bacterium. RNAcentral describes it as "partial 16S ribosomal RNA". It matches the Rfam family "Bacterial small subunit ribosomal RNA", at positions 524 to 776 of the family's 1533-position model. The record is from RNAcentral.
UACAUGGGGUGCAAACGUUGCUCGGAAUUAUUGGGCGUAAAGGGCGCGUAGGCGGCUUGGCAAGUGGAAGGUGAAAUCCCUCGGCUUAACCGAGGAACUGCCCUCCAAACUGCUUGGCUUGAGACCGGGAGAGGUGAGUGGAAUUCCCAGUGUAGCGGUGUAAUGCGUAGAUAUUGGGAGGAACACCAGUGGCGAAGGCGGCUCACUGGACCGGUACUGACGCUGAGGCGCGAAAGCGUGGGGAGCAAACGGG